GUACUUGCUUCGGCAGCACAUAUGCUAAAACUGGAACAAUAAAGAGAAGAUUAGCACGGUCCCUGUGCAAAUUCAUGAAGCGUUCCAUAUUUUU
Molecule: small nuclear RNA, 94 nt
Filed under: Sus scrofa (pig)
Lineage: Eukaryota; Metazoa; Chordata; Mammalia; Artiodactyla; Suidae
Source: RNAcentral